Molecule: ribosomal RNA, 288 nt
Filed under: uncultured bacterium
Lineage: Bacteria
Description: partial 16S ribosomal RNA
Rfam family: Bacterial small subunit ribosomal RNA
Source: RNAcentral
ACACGCCUACGGGAGGCAGCAGUGAGGAGUAUUGGUCAAUGGGAGAGAUCCUGAACCAGCCACGCCGCGUGAGGGAAGACGGCCCUAUGGGUUGUAAACCUCUUUUGUCGGAGAACAGAACCCGGGACGUGUCCCGGACUGCGUGUAUCCGAAGAAAAAGCAUCGGCUAACUCCGUGCCAGCAGCCGCGGUAAUACGGAGGAUGCGAGCGUUCUCCGGAUUUAUUGGGUUUAAAGGGUGCGUAGGCGGUCCGUUAAGUCAGCGGUAAAAUUGCGGGGCUCAACCCCGU